RNAcentral lists this ribosomal RNA (494 nucleotides) under uncultured bacterium. RNAcentral describes it as "partial 16S ribosomal RNA". It matches the Rfam family "Bacterial small subunit ribosomal RNA", at positions 28 to 507 of the family's 1533-position model. The record is from RNAcentral.
GACGAACGCUGGCGGCGUGCCUAAUACAUGCAAGUCGAGCGGACUUAAAAAGCUUGCUUUUUAAGUUAGCGGCGGACGGGUGAGUAACACGUGGGCAACCUGCCUGUAAGACUGGGAUAACUUCGGGAAACCGGAGCUAAUACCGGAUAAUCCUUUUCUACUCAUGUAGAAAAGCUGAAAGACGGUUUACGCUGUCACUUACAGAUGGGCCCGCGGCGCAUUAGCUAGUUGGUGAGGUAACGGCUCACCAAGGCGACGAUGCGUAGCCGACCUGAGAGGGUGAUCGGCCACACUGGGACUGAGACACGGCCCAGACUCCUACGGGAGGCAGCAGUAGGGAAUCUUCCGCAAUGGACGAAAGCCUGACGGAGCAACGCCGCGUGAGUGAUGAAGGUUUUCGGAUCGUAAAACUCUGUUGUUAGGGAAGAACAAGUACGAGAGUAACUGCUCGUACCUUGACGGUACCUAACCAGAAAGCCACGGCUAACUACGUG